RNAcentral lists this microRNA precursor (101 nucleotides) under Marmota monax (woodchuck). The record is from RNAcentral. Lineage: Eukaryota; Metazoa; Chordata; Mammalia; Rodentia; Sciuridae.
AGUGGGACUGCUGAAUCAAAUGUUAACUCUAUAUUUAACUUUUGAGGAACUCUAGGCUGUUUACCAAAGUGACUACACCAUUUUACAUUUCUACCAGCAAU